CCUACGGGUGGCAGCAGUGAGGAAUAUUGGUCAAUGGACGGAAGUCUGAACCAGCCAUGCCGCGUGCAGGAAGACGGCUCUAUGAGUUGUAAACUGCUUUUGUACAAGGGUAAACCUGAAUACGUGUAUUCAGCUGAAAUAUCUGUCCGAAUAAGGAUCGGCUAACUCCGUGCCAGCAGCCGCGGUAAUACGGAGGAUCCAAGCGUGAUCCGGAUUUCUUGGGUGUAAAGGGUGCGGAGGCGGGUUGAUAAGUGAGAGGUGAAAUGUCCGAGCUUAACUCGGGAACUGCCACUAAUACUGUUGAUCAAGAGAGUGGAUGCGGGAGGCGGAAUGUAUGGUGUAGCGGUG
Molecule: ribosomal RNA, 348 nt
Filed under: uncultured bacterium
Lineage: Bacteria
Description: partial 16S ribosomal RNA
Rfam family: Bacterial small subunit ribosomal RNA
Source: RNAcentral